GAUGAACGCUGGCGGCGUGCUUAACACAUGCAAGUCGAACGGUGAAGCCCAGCUUGCUGGGUGGAUCAGUGGCGAACGGGUGAGUAACACGUGAGCAACCUGCCCCUGACUCUGGGAUAAGCGCUGGAAACGGCGUCUAAUACUGGAUAUGUGACGUGACCGCAUGGUCUGCGUCUGGAAAGAAUUUCGGUUGGGGAUGGGCUCGCGGCCUAUCAGCUUGUUGGUGAGGUAAUGGCUCACCAAGGCGUCGACGGGUAGCCGGCCUGAGAGGGUGACCGGCCACACUGGGACUGAGACACGGCCCAGACUCCUACGGGAGGCAGCAGUGGGGAAUAUUGCACAAUGGGCGCAAGCCUGAUGCAGCAACGCCGCGUGCGGGAUGACGGCCUUCGGGUUGUAAACCUCUUUUAGCAGGGAAGAAGCGAAAGUGACGGU
Molecule: ribosomal RNA, 435 nt
Filed under: uncultured bacterium
Lineage: Bacteria
Description: bacterial SSU rRNA
Rfam family: Bacterial small subunit ribosomal RNA
Source: RNAcentral